This 927-nucleotide ribosomal RNA is filed under the name Bacillus licheniformis. RNAcentral's name for it is "bacterial SSU rRNA". It matches the Rfam family "Bacterial small subunit ribosomal RNA", at positions 9 to 915 of the family's 1533-position model. Lineage: Bacteria; Bacillati; Bacillota; Bacilli; Caryophanales; Bacillaceae. The record is from RNAcentral.
AGGUUUGAUCCUGGCUCAGGACGAACGCUGGCGGCGUGCCUAAUACAUGCAAGUCGAGCGGACCGACGGGAGCUUGCCCCCUUAGGUCAGCGGCGGACGGGUGAGUAACACGUGGGUAACCUGCCUGUAAGACUGGGAUAACUCCGGGAAACCGGGGCUAAUACCGGAUGCUUGAUUGAACCGCAUGGUUCAAUCAUAAAAGGUGGCUUUUAGCUACCACUUGCAGAUGGACCCGCGGCGCAUUAGCUAGUUGGUGAGGUAACGGCUCACCAAGGCGACGAUGCGUAGCCGACCUGAGAGGGUGAUCGGCCACACUGGGACUGAGACACGGCCCAGACUCCUACGGGAGGCAGCAGUAGGGAAUCUUCCGCAAUGGACGAAAGUCUGACGGAGCAACGCCGCGUGAGUGAUGAAGGUUUUCGGAUCGUAAAACUCUGUUGUUAGGGAAGAACAAGUACCGUUCGAAUAGGGCGGCACCUUGACGGUACCUAACCAGAAAGCCACGGCUAACUACGUGCCAGCAGCCGCGGUAAUACGUAGGUGGCAAGCGUUGUCCGGAAUUAUUGGGCGUAAAGCGCGCGCAGGCGGUUUCUUAAGUCUGAUGUGAAAGCCCCCGGCUCAACCGGGGAGGGUCAUUGGAAACUGGGGAACUUGAGUGCAGAAGAGGAGAGUGGAAUUCCACGUGUAGCGGUGAAAUGCGUAGAGAUGUGGAGGAACACCAGUGGCGAAGGCGACUCUCUGGUCUGUAACUGACGCUGAGGCGCGAAAGCGUGGGGAGCGAACAGGAUUAGAUACCCUGGUAGUCCACGCCGUAAACGAUGAGUGCUAAGUGUUAGAGGGUUUCCGCCCUUUAGUGCUGCAGCAAACGCAUUAAGCACUCCGCCUGGGGAGUACGGUCGCAAGACUGAAACUCAAAGGGAAUUGACG